RNAcentral lists this unclassified non-coding RNA (264 nucleotides) under Cyphellophora europaea. RNAcentral's name for it is "partial internal transcribed spacer region". The stretch from base 1 to 46 matches the Rfam family "Eukaryotic small subunit ribosomal RNA", at positions 1786 to 1831 of the family's 1831-position model. Lineage: Eukaryota; Fungi; Ascomycota; Eurotiomycetes; Chaetothyriales; Cyphellophoraceae. The record is from RNAcentral.
AAGUCGUAACAAGGUUUCCGUAGGUGAACCUGCGGAAGGAUCAUUACCGAGUAAGGGUGCCUAAUCGCGCCCGACCUCCAACCCUUUGUCUACUUAACCAAAAUGUUGCUUCGGCAGGCCCGCCCUUCGGGGCCACCGGGGGUCCUCAUACGACCCCGGGUCCGCGUCUGUCGAUGGCCCCAACCAAACUAUUGUUAAAACGUGUCAUCUGAGUUAUCUAAACAAAUGAAAUUAAAACUUUCAACAACGGAUCUCUUGGUUCUG